CCUACGGGUGGCAGCAGUGGGGAAUAUUGCACAAUGGGGGAAACCCUGAUGCAGCGACGCCGCGUGAGUGAAGAAGUAAUUCGUUAUGUAAAGCUCUAUCAGCAGGGAAGAAAAUGACGGUACCUGAGGAAGAAGGCCCGGCUAACUACGUGCCAGCAGCCGGGGGAAUACGUAGGGGGCAAGCGUUAUCCGGAUUGACUGGGUGUAAAGGGAGCGUAGACGGCAGUGCAAGUCUGGAGUGAAAGGCGGGGGCUCAACCCCCGGACUGCUCUGGAAACUGUACGGCUGGAGUGCAGGAGAGGUAAGUGGAAUUCGUAGGGUAGCGGUGAAAUGCGUAGAUAUUAGGAGGAACACCAGUGGCGAAGGCGGCUUACUGGACUGUAACUGACGUUGAGGCUCGAAAGCGUGGGGAGCAAACAGGAUUAGAUACCCCAGUAGUC
Molecule: ribosomal RNA, 440 nt
Filed under: uncultured bacterium
Lineage: Bacteria
Description: partial 16S ribosomal RNA
Rfam family: Bacterial small subunit ribosomal RNA
Source: RNAcentral